Molecule: signal recognition particle RNA, 235 nt
Filed under: human gut metagenome
Also listed under: 1 other name
Description: Bacterial large signal recognition particle RNA
Rfam family: Bacterial large signal recognition particle RNA
About the family: The signal recognition particle (SRP) is a universally conserved ribonucleoprotein involved in the co-translational targeting of proteins to membranes. Archaeal SRP consists of a 7S RNA and homologues of the eukaryotic SRP19 and SRP54 proteins. In most bacteria, the SRP consists of a 4.5S RNA and the Ffh protein (a homologue of the eukaryotic SRP54 protein).
Source: RNAcentral
CCGUGCUAAGUGGGGAGCCAGCGGUGCCCUUAACCUGCAAUCCGCUACAGCAGGGCUGAAAGCCGUUCUCGGCACAGGUCGUGGAAGGUAAGUUGCAAGUAAGCGGUGUUGACCCCGGGGUCUUGUGCAACGCUUUACUGUGAACCGUGUCAGGGCUUGACCGCAGCAGCACUAAGCAGCUCUUGGCGUGUGCCACAAGUGAGCUUCGGGCGAGCAGGCUGCUUGCGAGACUCUU